ACCUUGUUGGCGCAGCGGUCAGCGUGUCAGUCUCACAAUCUGUAGGUCGUGAGUUCAACCCUCACACAGGGCA
This is a non-coding RNA of Poeciliopsis prolifica (blackstripe livebearer), 73 nucleotides long. NCBI's taxonomy places the organism in Eukaryota, Metazoa, Chordata, Actinopteri, Cyprinodontiformes, Poeciliidae. The record is from the annotation of a RefSeq genome assembly.